AAGAUUUUAAGUUAAAAAAACUCUAUACCUUCAAAGUAUAAAAUAUUAAAUAUAUAAAUCUUA
RNAcentral lists this transfer RNA (63 nucleotides) under Amblyomma fimbriatum (goanna tick). Its description in RNAcentral is "tRNA-Trp". The record is from RNAcentral. Lineage: Eukaryota; Metazoa; Arthropoda; Arachnida; Ixodida; Ixodidae.